UCCCGGGAGCUUUGGAAUGUCCCCAGAGAGAGAGACUUCACAACCUCCCUGGGCAGCCUGUUCCAGUGCGCUGCCACCCUCAACGUAAGGAAGUUCUUCUUCAUGUUGAGGUGGGACAUGGGUUUUAGUUUAUGGCCAUUGCUCCUCGUCUUAUCGUUGGGCUCCACUGAAAAGCGUCUGGCACCAUCCUCUUGGCACCUGCCUGUGAGAUCUUUAUAUGUAUUGAUGGGAUCCCCUCUCGGUCAUCUCUUCUCUAGGUUAACCACUAGGUUGGUAGUAUAUCAAAAUAAAAAGGUAUCUGCCUCCGUGGAGCUCUCAAUGCCGCACUCCUGCGCACCUCCCUCGGGACAGGGUUUAACUGAACUGUUCCAAAAGAUCACACCUUGCCGAUGGAGCAGUUUUUAACAAAUUAACAUCUCAAUGUGCCGAAGGUUGAGUGGCAAAGUCAAUAAAACAGCAAUUUGUUUCUAUAGAAACUGAACACCUUAGCAGGGAUUGUACCAAGCUCUGAUUUUGAUGGUUUCUCCCCCCCCCCUUCCCCCCCCCCCCCCCCCGGAAUUUGCUGCUUUUGCAGUCUGAUCUUGCUUGUUUUCAGGAAAUCAGAAAUUUGGAAAACUGGCUUGGAAUUUUUUAGCACGUGAGGAAUGCUGGCAAUCACAUGAUAAUGGUACCAAAAAACCUCUAGAACCUAGUUCAGUGAGUUAGAAUUAAUUUCUGACUGCGUAAUCAUGCACCCUGAAAAUCUCGGUUUGUUCCUCCACUUUCAGAUCGUAAGGACCUUUGCAACUCCCCAUCUUCCAUUCCCCCUUCUCCUAAGGUCUUUCUCCAGUACAGCCGAAAGGAGCUAAUCCAAGAAUCAGCUGAUGCAGCUGCUUGCUGCCCAGAGAUUUGGGGAGUUUUUGCGGGUUUUUUUCCAACACGACUAUCAUUAACAUGAGGAAAUGUGGUAAGAAAAGAAAUAUUCAAUUGGUGCAUUCCAGAUUUCUUGUUCUCAGAUGAAGUUUCCCUGUAUGUUCUGUUCUCAAGUGACAGGGAUAUUCAAAUGGCUUCAGGAAUACAAAUAAGUAAUUUAGCUUAUCCUUGGAGGAAAAUCCUAACAGGUUUCUGGAAAUACACAAGGCAUGGAAUGGGACUCUUUGGUAGUGCGACAGUGCAGUAGCUGUGCUUUUAAAAACUAGUAGGUCCAUGAAUACCUUUUUUUUUUCCCCCCUGUCAGGACAGAGAGUUUCUGGAUUACUUAGUUCUGAGUCUGGUUGUACCAAAGUUUGUUAGCUUUGUUCUGCUUUUUCCUUCUCCUUUUUUGUUCUCAACAUCAGUCUUUAUGCUUUCCCCUGAAAACAUGGUGUUUAUUGCAGUGAGAGAGUCUUCUAAGUUGUCUUGACCUCAGUCAUUUUAUCAGAGUCACUUGAAUGUUUUGGUAACCACCUGAAAAGCCUUGCUUCUCAGUUCAAUUUUUUUCCCAGACAAAAAAUAGAGGAUUUCCCUUUGACAGUCAUUCUUCUUUUUCAUUGAAUAGUAGGAAGACGGGUCACAUGAAUUCCUGCAGAGCCCUUGAAAAUGCUGUCAAGAAUUUUUGGUAGGGUUUGGGAAGUUCCAGGUAUUUAUGUUUGGUUUUGUGUUCAAGAUCUAGUUCUCCAAAGCAUUUACAUUUCCAAAUGCUGUAAUUUGUGCUUUGGAAUUCUCUUAGGAGCUGGGCAUAAAGAAGAGAUUUUCAUUACUCACUUCCUUCCACCAUUAAUACACAAGCUUUAAAACUUAAUGGGUUAUGGAAACCUCUUAGAUACAGGAAGAGAGCUGGGAAGGCCCAAAGAGGGCACACAUCUGUUAGGCCUCAGCAGUCUGCUGCUGGCGUUGCCAGGUAAUCCUUUUCUGUAGCUUUAUUUACAUUAUGUCUGAAUCCCAGUUUUAACCAUUGCUUGUGGCUUUGCCAAUGCAAACACUCAGCAUGAGCAAAAAUGAAAAAAAAUUUAAAAUGGAUUCCAUUGGAACUUGGGUUCAGAGCCAGAAUAAAUUUGAGUAGUGCAAAUGUCAGCUUUUGUUCACACUCCGAGUUUGUAUUGUUUGUAUGGCAACUAACCCUAAGCAUAGGUGAGAGGACACAAACCCAAGUGCUCAGCUGACGAUGUUGUUAGUCUAACAGGACUUUGGAACAUGGAAGAAGUUCCAGCACACCAUCAGAAGCGCCCAUACUUCCCUAACAGGGAUGUGAGUUUGCAUCUUGCUGCUUGACUUUUGGAAUACCAGGAAGUGGCAGCUCAUUGAAUGCCUGCCUUGUCUACUGCUGCAGUUCUUGGAAGAUAAUUUGGCAGCUCCCGCAGAGGCACUCAUGAACACCUGUUCCUUCUGACUGGGCAUCCAGGACAUCUCUUCUUGUCCAGUCCCCACCACAAAGUUUACACGAUCGCUUUUAUGUGUGGAUACCAGACCUAUCCACUGACAAAUACAGCUGAGCAUGGCAAGAGGAGCUCACCAGCCAUCCCAGGCACUGUGCAGGAGCCAAAUGUCCUGGGAAGAGAGGCUGUGGGCAGCCACCUUGUGCAACUGUUCCUGUAAGAAGGUGUGAGCAGAGCUGGUGUGCACAGUGUACGUGAGCCUCUGCCUUGUUCCAUCUGUGUGGAGAGAAGCUGUCACAGAAAUGAUGGGAGGCUAGCAAAGAGACCUGACUGCCAAAGGAAGACACUGUUAGUAGCCUGGAGUGUGCAGCCGAUGUUGAACAGUGGUAUAAAUUUAAUUGGUAACUCAUUUCUUAUUAAAACUGACAGAUUUUUUUCUUCCUAGCAGAACAGACAAGAGUGGAAAGGUUUCACAUAAUCACUGAUUUCACUGAAACUUGACAGCAUUAUCAAGCACUUUAAAUCUUUUUUAAUUUUAUAUGAAUCCCAUAAAAUAUCAAAACACCAGCAUGUAAACAAAGGACUUCAAUAAGCUUGGUUUGGUAUUUCUAUUACAUUCCAAUUUGGAAUGAAAGGAGAUGUGAAAUAAUCAGCUUCCCCAAGAAAAUGUUAUGUCUG
Molecule: long non-coding RNA, 3011 nt
Organism: Neopelma chrysocephalum (saffron-crested tyrant-manakin)
Lineage: Eukaryota; Metazoa; Chordata; Aves; Passeriformes; Pipridae
Exons: 3
Source: RefSeq, a predicted model, not a curated record